This 271-nucleotide long non-coding RNA is filed under the name Lathyrus oleraceus (garden pea). RNAcentral's name for it is "Pisum sativum (pea) long non-coding RNA (PSAT_LNC014043)". The record is from RNAcentral. Lineage: Eukaryota; Viridiplantae; Streptophyta; Magnoliopsida; Fabales; Fabaceae.
AAGAUGUCUUGGUUCAAGGAUUCAUGCUUGUGAUAAGUGGGUUGAGUGUUCUCCAAAGAAUGACUUAAACAAAAGCAAAGCAAAAGCAAUAAUAACUUCUAAUUCACUAACAACUAACAUUUAAUUUCAAGUCAUUUAUUUUUAAUGCACUUUAAUUUUUAAGCUUUAAGUCAUUUGCCAUUAUUCAUACCAUUCAAGUUGUUUUCUUUAAUGCCAUUUUUACUUUGUCCAUUUGGACCAUAGUUUGUGGUAUUUUUUGUUUGUAUAUACU